Small nuclear RNA from Cynocephalus volans (Philippine flying lemur), 191 nucleotides. RefSeq annotates it as U2 spliceosomal RNA. The record is from RefSeq and is a predicted model, not a curated record. NCBI's taxonomy places the organism in Eukaryota, Metazoa, Chordata, Mammalia, Dermoptera, Cynocephalidae. The transcript has a single exon.
AUCGCUUCUUGGCCUUUUGGCUAAAAUCAAGUGUAGUAUCUGUUCUUAUCAGUUCAGUAUCUGAUACAUCUUCUAUCUGAGGACACUAUAUUAAAUGGAUUUUUGGAAGCAGGAAAUGGAAUAGGAGCUUUCUCUGUACACUCCACGCAUCGACCUGGUAUUGCAAUACCUCUAGGAUCGAUGCACUCCCU